AAUCCAUGCAUUGGACACUUUCAUAUCAACUUCUUAAAAUGUUCUCAUGCUUCAUAUAAAUUUUUGUCUUCCAAGUGCUUGAAAGAGGUGAUAUCAUUUCUCAACUU
This is a small nucleolar RNA of Hibiscus syriacus, 107 nucleotides long. Lineage: Eukaryota; Viridiplantae; Streptophyta; Magnoliopsida; Malvales; Malvaceae. The record is from RefSeq and is a predicted model, not a curated record.